CCCAAUUAUUAGUUCCUGUUACGACCUAUCGCCUGUUUUUCAAAAACAUGUCCUCUUGAUAAUAUUUUGAGGUCUGGUCUGCUCACUGAAGAAUUUUAAAUAGCCGCGGUAUUUUGACCGUGCAAAGGUAGCAUAAUCAUUAGUCUUUUAAUUAAAGGCUGGAAUGAAUGGCUUGACGAGAAAUUAACUGUCUCUUAAUAAUUUUUAAAAUUUAACUUUUGAGUCAAAAGGCUUAAAUUUUUUUUAAGGACGAAAAGACCCUAUAAAGCUUAACAUUAAUAUUAUAUUUGGUUUUUAGUUAAUCUUUCUAAAUUUAAUGAUAAUGUUUUGUUGGGGUGACAUGAAAAAUAAUUAAACUUUUCAUUAUUAAAUCAUUGAUAAAUGUUUUAUUGAUCCAUAAUUUAUGAUCAUAAGAUUAAGUUACCUUAGGGAUAACAGCGUAAUUGUUUUUGAAAGCUCAUAUCAACAAAAUAAAUUGCGACCUCCAUGUUGGAUUAAAAUAAAUCUUGGGUGCAGUAGCACACGUUCCCAUUUUAACGUCCUUUU
RNAcentral lists this ribosomal RNA (546 nucleotides) under Aiolopus thalassinus tamulus. Its description in RNAcentral is "partial large subunit ribosomal RNA". It matches the Rfam family "Bacterial large subunit ribosomal RNA", at positions 1762 to 2582 of the family's 2925-position model. Lineage: Eukaryota; Metazoa; Arthropoda; Insecta; Orthoptera; Acrididae. The record is from RNAcentral.